CAGUAGCCACGGUAAUACGGAGGGAGCUAGUGUUGUUCGGAAUCACUGGGCGUAAAGCGCACGUAGGCGGCUAUUCAAGUCAGGGGUGAAAGCCCGGGGCUCAACCCCGGAACUGCCUUUGAAACUAGAUAGCUUGAAUCUUGGAGAGGCGAGUGGAAUUCCGAGUGUAGAGGUGAAAUUCGUAGAUAUUCGCAAGAACACCAGUGGCGAAGGCGGCUCACUGGCCCGGUACUGACGCUGAGGCGCGAAAGCGUGGGGAGCAAACAGGAUUAGAUACCCCCGUAGUCCCUGUCUCUUAUAC
This 301-nucleotide ribosomal RNA is filed under the name uncultured bacterium. RNAcentral's name for it is "partial 16S ribosomal RNA". It matches the Rfam family "Bacterial small subunit ribosomal RNA", at positions 509 to 807 of the family's 1533-position model. The record is from RNAcentral.